GGGGACGACAGGCUUCGACGUGGUCGACUCGUGGGGGUGGUUGCGAGCCGAGGUUCCGGGCGGCCUCGUAAAUCACCCGGAAAUCAAUAAGUGCGGACACGCACACUGUCGAUCUCGGUUACGCGGCUGCUUAGUCGGUAACUGAAGUCGUCUCGACCGUCACUCGCCUGCGGUGGCGGAUCGGGAUCAGCUAGCAGGCUCGCUCGGUGAGGAUUUGCUCCCUCCGAUCCGAGGACUUUUAGGGAGCUGGCUCUCGACAACCCGGCCGGCGUGGCGAGUCGAGAGCGAGAUUUAGAGCGCCGGCUACGCUCGUAGACGCCACCAUCUACGCGACUGCGGACCCGGGUUCGAUUCCCGGCGUCUCCACCU
RNAcentral lists this transfer-messenger RNA (369 nucleotides) under Solirubrobacteraceae. RNAcentral describes it as "Palsa-465 sp005883415 Standard tmRNA". It matches the Rfam family "transfer-messenger RNA". Rfam says of the family: Bacterial tmRNA, also known as 10Sa RNA or SsrA, is named for its dual tRNA and mRNA-like properties. Its role is to liberate the mRNA from a stalled ribosome. To accomplish this part of the tmRNA is used as a reading frame that ends in a translation stop signal. The record is from RNAcentral. Lineage: Bacteria; Bacillati; Actinomycetota; Thermoleophilia; Solirubrobacterales. RNAcentral also lists the same sequence under 1 other name.